CCAUGGGGAGCAGGAAAGACCUGUCAAAAGACCUGCAUAACCAGGCUGUUCCUCACAGGAAUGAGGAGUCGUAGACAAUCAUCGCUGCUGCAAGGCAGGGUUAGCAGCACAGAGGCUGUCAGUGGUGGAGUGUGCAGUGAACCGCACCCCGCCGGUUGGAAGCUAGCCUUCAGUCGGUUAUCUUUCUGCCCUCGAAGUCGCCCCAAGACAAAAGUUUCAUGGCUGCUCUCACUGGCUCCUGUGAACUUGAAUACAAGGAGACCUGAAGCUUCUACGGGGACAUCAAAUAGCAGAAGAAUUUACAGACACCCAUUCAUUCACAGUACCCUCACUGACAUCUUUCCACUCUCCCCCCACUGCUCAAAAUGCAGGCGGUGGAUAAACUGUACACCCAAAUGGGCCUGCCUUGCGAUUGGGUUUGAAUGCUGACCUCUGACCUCUGCUUGCUGGAGGAGACCGUUUCAAGCGGUGGUCACAUUUCAACGAGCGAGGCGGGAGAGGGCGAGAGAGGGACCAGUAAAGGGCCUCGGCUUCGAGUGGGACUCGCUAAGUGUCACUCGUGUGUUCAACCUUUGUCCAUUUUUGUCAUGCACAGAGGCCCGCUCAUAGGCUCUAUAUGUGUGUGUUAUUGUGUCCUCAGCAGUGUGAAUCGCACAAUACAGAUGAUUAUGUUUGUUGUUGUUGUUGUUGUGUCGUGUGCAUAAUAUUAAUGUUAUUGACCAUGUGAUUUGAACAACAUGUCAACUUAUUUCAUUCAUAAUACAUAUUUUUGGGCUCAACAA
Esox lucius (northern pike) is the source of this 782-nucleotide long non-coding RNA. RefSeq lists it as uncharacterized. The record is from RefSeq and is a predicted model, not a curated record. Lineage: Eukaryota; Metazoa; Chordata; Actinopteri; Esociformes; Esocidae. The transcript is spliced from 4 exons.